Molecule: ribosomal RNA, 495 nt
Filed under: uncultured bacterium
Lineage: Bacteria
Description: partial 16S ribosomal RNA
Rfam family: Bacterial small subunit ribosomal RNA
Source: RNAcentral
GAUGAACGCUGGCGGCGUGCCUAAUACAUGCAAGUAGAACGCUGAAGGAGGAGCUUGCUCUUCUGGAUGAGUUGCGAACGGGUGAGUAACGCGUAGGUAACCUGCCUGGUAGCGGGGGAUAACUAUUGGAAACGAUAGCUAAUACCGCAUGACAACAGUUAUUGCAUGAUAACUGUUUAAAAGGGGCAACUGCUCCACUACCAGAUGGACCUGCGUUGUAUUAGCUAGUUGGGGAGGUAACGGCUCACCAAGGCGACGAUACAUAGCCGACCUGAGAGGGUGGUCGGCCACACUGGGACUGAGACACGGCCCAGACUCCUACGGGAGGCAGCAGUAGGGAAUCUUCGGCAAUGGACGGAAGUCUGACCGAGCAACGCCGCGUGAGUGAAGAAGGUUUUCGGAUCGUAAAGCUCUGUUGUAAGAGAAGAACGAGUGUGAGAGUGGAAAGUUCACACUGUGACGGUAUCUUACCAGAAAGGGACGGCUAACUACGUG